This is a non-coding RNA of Odobenus rosmarus divergens (Pacific walrus), 1083 nucleotides long. The record is from the annotation of a RefSeq genome assembly. NCBI's taxonomy places the organism in Eukaryota, Metazoa, Chordata, Mammalia, Carnivora, Odobenidae.
AUGCUGGGUCUCCUUGCCAUCCUGUGCACUCUCCUGUUUCCUGGUGGUGGAGCAGGGCUCAAGCUGGAUCAGCCUGCUUUGGUGGUGGCGCGCUUGCGCUUGGACAGCUCAGCCACCCUGCCAUGCAAAGUAGACACCUCGGUCAGCUACGUCCACUGGUACCGCCACCAGGAGGGUACGGCCCCCAAGAGGCUCCUCUACCUAGACAUGUCCAGGUCCUUUGUGAAGAGGGAUUUUCCCAUGAAAGCGGACAAAGUCAAUGCCCAGAAGGGCAGGGAGAGCAACAGCUGUACUCUGUCGGUGCUGAAGCUGGAGAAGAGCGACGAGGGCGUGUACUACUGUGCUGCCUGGGAGUGCACAGCCCUACAGUGUACAUGGGAUGGCUCAUGGAAGAACAAAGUGUUUGGUCCUGGCACAUUGCUCAGGAUUACAGAUACAAGUCCUGAUGAAGACAUUUCCCCCAAGCCCACCAUUUUUCUUCCUUCAGUUGCUGAAAUACAAAUCCAUAAGGCUGGAACAUACCUUUGUCUUCUUGAGGAUUUUUUCCCUGACAUUAUCAAGAUAGAUUGGCAAGAAAAGGAUGGCAAAACAAUUCUGAAAUCCCAGCAGGGAGACACUAUGAAGAAGACUAAGGACACAUACAUGAAAUUCAGCUGGCUGACUGUGACUGAAGCAUCAAUGGAUAAAGAACACAAAUGUAUCGUCAACCACGAGAGUGGUAAAACAAAGGUUAAUCAAGAGAUUCUUUUUCCUUCAAUAAACAAAGAUUUGAUGGCAGAGAUGGAAUCCAAAGUGGACUCCCAGGGACAUUCAGAGACAGAACAAAACACAGAGGUGGUAACUGUGAACCCUUUGAGUUCACAAUCCUUCUCACCUGUUCCAGGGGCUGUGGAGCUCGCUGUUAUUAACUCCACAAAAUAUUCUCUGAAUGAUGAAAACAACACCCUGCAGCUGCAACUCGUGAACACCUCUGCCUAUUACACCUACCUCCUCCUCCUUGGGAAGAGCCUGGUCUACUCCACCAUCAUCGCCAUCUGUCUGCUUGGGAGACCAGCAUUCUAUGGCAAUGGAAAGAGUUCCUAA